AUUGAACGCUGGCGGCAGGCCUAACACAUGCAAGUCGAGCGGAUGAAGGGAGCUUGCUCCUGGAUUCAGCGGCGGACGGGUGAGUAAUGCCUAGGAAUCUGCCUGGUAGUGGGGGAUAACGUCCGGACACGGGCGCUAAUACCGCAUACGUCCUGAGGGAGAAAGUGGGGGAUCUUCGGACCUCACGCUAUAAGAUGAGCCUAGGUCGGAUUAGCUAGUUGGUGGGGUAAAGGCCUACCAAGGCGACGAUCCGUAACUGGUCUGAGAGGAUGAUCAGUCACACUGGAACUGAGACGCGGUCCAGACUCCUACGGGAGGCAGCAGUGGGGAAUAUUGGACAAUGGGCGAAAGCCUGAUCCAGCCAUGCCGCGUGUGUGAAGAAGGUCUUCGGAUUGUAAAGCACUUUAAGUUGGGAGGAAGGGCAGUAAGUUAAUACCUUGCUGUUCUGACGUUACUAACAGAAUAAGCACCGGCUAACUUCGUG
RNAcentral lists this ribosomal RNA (484 nucleotides) under uncultured bacterium. RNAcentral describes it as "partial 16S ribosomal RNA". It matches the Rfam family "Bacterial small subunit ribosomal RNA", at positions 30 to 507 of the family's 1533-position model. The record is from RNAcentral.